Molecule: ribosomal RNA, 966 nt
Filed under: Bembicium auratum
Lineage: Eukaryota; Metazoa; Mollusca; Gastropoda; Littorinimorpha; Littorinidae
Description: SSU rRNA
Rfam family: Eukaryotic small subunit ribosomal RNA
Source: RNAcentral
GAUUAAGCCAUGCAUGUCUAAGUUCACACCCUUGUACGGUGAAACCGCGAAUGGCUCAUUAAAUCAGUCGAGGUUCCUUAGAUGAUCCAAAUCUACUUGGAUAACUGUGGUAAUUCUAGAGCUAAUACAUGCCAACCAGCUCCGACCCUUUCGGGGGAAAGAGCGCUUUUAUUAGUUCAAAACCAGUCGGGCGCCUCACGGCGUCCGUCCUUUGGUGACUCUGGAUAACUUUGUGCCGAUCGCAUGGCCACGAGCCGGCGACGCAUCUUUCAAAUGUCUGCCCUAUCAAAUGACGAUGGUACGUGAUCUGCCUACCAUGUUAGCAACGGGUAGCGGGGAAUCAGGGUUCGAUUCCGGAGAGGGAGCAUGAGAAACGGCUACCACAUCCAAGGAAGGCAGCAGGCGCGCAACUUACCCACUCCUGGCACGGGGAGGUAGUGACGAAAAAUAACAAUACGGAACUCUUUUGAGGCUCCGUAAUUGGAAUGAGUACACUUUAAAGCCUUUAACGAGGAUCUAUUGGAGGGCAAGUCUGGUGCCAGCAGCCGCGGUAAUUCCAGCUCCAAUAGCGUAUACUAAAGUUGUUGCGAUUAAAAAGCUCGUAGUUGGAUCUCAGGCAUGGGCGCACGGUCCGCCUCGCGGCGGUCACUGUGUGGUGAGUUUGACUUUUCCCAUCCUACGCUUCCCGGUUGUUAGCCCAUGGUGCUCUUGAUUGAGCGUUUUGGGUGGCCGGAACGUUUACUUUGAAGAAAUUAGAGUGUUCAAAGCAGGCAGGUCGCCUGAAUAAUGGUGCAUGGAAUAAUGGAAUAGGACCUCGGUUCUAUUUUGCUGGUUUUCGGAACACGAGGUAAUGAUUAAGAGGGACAGACGGGGGCAUCCGUAUUGCGGUGUUAGAGGUGAAAUUCUUGGAUCAUCGCAAGACGAACAACUGCGAAAGCAUUUGCCAAGCAUGUUUUCAUUAGUCAA